RNAcentral lists this microRNA precursor (75 nucleotides) under Myotis lucifugus (little brown bat). RNAcentral's name for it is "mir-9229 microRNA precursor family". It matches the Rfam family "mir-9229 microRNA precursor family". Lineage: Eukaryota; Metazoa; Chordata; Mammalia; Chiroptera; Vespertilionidae. The record is from Rfam by way of RNAcentral.
GAGACACCCUUCUGGGGCAAGAUUGCUUCCGUGGGGCUUUGGUGCUCACUGAGUCUGCCCCCUGAGUGUGUCCCU